UGUAGAAAUGGAACUAAUCCUUUAUUUUACCUGGCAACAUUAUCACAUUUUUGACGUUUGUGAAGUUUUAUAAAUAGUGUCGGUGUUGUCUUUUUAUUAAAAUUUUGCAAUAAGAACAAGAAGAUACUAUUCGCGAUACAAAAUGAAUAAGCCGCGAAUAAUAAGGUUCGCGAGAGAAAUUAUAUAUAAUACUUUUACCGACCAUGUCUAGCUGAACAAGAAGCAAAAACAAUUCUAUCGGAUCUGGAAGCAUAUGUGAGUGCGUUUCAAGACAUAACCGAAGAUGAUUGGAAAAUCUCAUGUCAACAUGUAAGAAAAAUUUAAAAUGACUAUUACAAGAGAGAACAUACCCUGUAAGAGGACAUUGAAAGAAUUAUAAUAAAUCUUAAAGAUGACAGUAGUAGUUCUUCAGAAUCACAGGAUGACUGUCCAGCCAGCUCCAGUCAUGAAAAUAUGGACAUUGAUUUUACUGAAAUACAAUAUUUGGAAGAAAGUUUUUGGUUUUAUUUGUUUUUAAGUAAAAUGCCACAAUUCUGAAAUGAUUUCUCAAACUUAAAACAUGACAUACUCUAAUUAAAUUUGAAUACAAUGGCAAAUGAUUUACCAGUUUAUAGUUUUAUAUUUUUAUUAUAGAUAACAAAUCACAUUUGUCUGGCUAAUUUUACAAAAGUAACACUAUGUACAAAUUAUAUUAUAAAUUACGAAUGGAAAGAGUAGUAAAUUUUUCCUCUUCUCAUAGUUGCCAAAUACAUGCGGUGGCCGAAUCUGAAAAUCAUCAGCCAUGGAACUAGGCUGACCAUUGCUCUACGUACAAUAAUUUAUUGCACUACUGUGCAAUAAAUUAUUGUACGUAUAAGAACUACUGUUCUUCAGUAACCUUGGUUUCAAAAUAUUUCAUCCAUAGUGUGGAAGCUUUGUAUUAGCUAAAAUCUGAAAUAUUGCAAUCUAAUGACCGGAAUAAAAAUUUUGGUGUUGACUGCGAGAUCCAAGAGGAGAUCGCAUAUCUGAAUCCAACCACUGAUACUUUCAGAGACAUAAUUGCGGACACUUCUUUACCAAUGAUUACGAGACAAGCAAUACAGGAAUAUUUUGAAAGUUAUGUACCCAUAUGUAAUGAUUAUAAUCUUAGGCAGUUGUUUACAAAGAUGACAGUGUAAAUUUUAUGUAUUUAAAUUGGUAUACCUACACUCAUAUAUCAUGAUAUCUUGAUAACAUUAUAUUAUAUUUUCUUACUACAU
Manduca sexta (tobacco hornworm) is the source of this 1238-nucleotide long non-coding RNA. RefSeq lists it as uncharacterized. NCBI's taxonomy places the organism in Eukaryota, Metazoa, Arthropoda, Insecta, Lepidoptera, Sphingidae. The record is from RefSeq and is a predicted model, not a curated record. The transcript has 3 exons.